RNAcentral lists this ribosomal RNA (1627 nucleotides) under Klebsiella pneumoniae. RNAcentral's name for it is "partial 23S ribosomal RNA". It matches the Rfam family "Bacterial large subunit ribosomal RNA", at positions 1331 to 2925 of the family's 2925-position model. The record is from RNAcentral. Lineage: Bacteria; Pseudomonadati; Pseudomonadota; Gammaproteobacteria; Enterobacterales; Enterobacteriaceae.
CGCUCGCCGGAAGACCAAGGGUUCCUGUCCAACGUUAAUCGGGGCAGGGUGAGUCGACCCCUAAGGCGAGGCCGAAAGGCGUAGUCGAUGGGAAACAGGUUAAUAUUCCUGUACUUGGUGUUACUGCGAAGGGGGGACGGAGAAGGCUAUGUUAGCCGGGCGACGGUUGUCCCGGUUUAAGCAUGUAGGCUGGUUAUCCAGGCAAAUCCGGAUAACCAAGGCUGAGGUGUGAUGACGAGGCACUACGGUGCUGAAGUAACAAAUGCCCUGCUUCCAGGAAAAGCCUCUAAGCAUCAGGUAACAUCAAAUCGUACCCCAAACCGACACAGGUGGUCAGGUAGAGAAUACCAAGGCGCUUGAGAGAACUCGGGUGAAGGAACUAGGCAAAAUGGUGCCGUAACUUCGGGAGAAGGCACGCUGGUGUGUAGGUGAAGCCCCUGCGGGUGGAGCUGAGACCAGUCGAAGAUACCAGCUGGCUGCAACUGUUUAUUAAAAACACAGCACUGUGCAAACACGAAAGUGGACGUAUACGGUGUGACGCCUGCCCGGUGCCGGAAGGUUAAUUGAUGGGGUUAUCCGUAAGGAGAAGCUCUUGAUCGAAGCCCCGGUAAACGGCGGCCGUAACUAUAACGGUCCUAAGGUAGCGAAAUUCCUUGUCGGGUAAGUUCCGACCUGCACGAAUGGCGUAAUGAUGGCCAGGCUGUCUCCACCCGAGACUCAGUGAAAUUGAACUCGCUGUGAAGAUGCAGUGUACCCGCGGCAAGACGGAAAGACCCCGUGAACCUUUACUAUAGCUUGACACUGAACAUUGAGCCUUGAUGUGUAGGAUAGGUGGGAGGCUUUGAAGCGUGGACGCCAGUCUGCGUGGAGCCAACCUUGAAAUACCACCCUUUAAUGUUUGAUGUUCUAACGUUGGCCCCUGACCGGGGUUGCGGACAGUGUCUGGUGGGUAGUUUGACUGGGGCGGUCUCCUCCCAAAGCGUAACGGAGGAGCACGAAGGUUAGCUAAUCCUGGUCGGACAUCAGGAGGUUAGUGCAAUGGCAUAAGCUAGCUUGACUGCGAGCGUGACGGCGCGAGCAGGUGCGAAAGCAGGUCAUAGUGAUCCGGUGGUUCUGAAUGGAAGGGCCAUCGCUCAACGGAUAAAAGGUACUCCGGGGAUAACAGGCUGAUACCGCCCAAGAGUUCAUAUCGACGGCGGUGUUUGGCACCUCGAUGUCGGCUCAUCACAUCCUGGGGCUGAAGUAGGUCCCAAGGGUAUGGCUGUUCGCCAUUUAAAGUGGUACGCGAGCUGGGUUUAGAACGUCGUGAGACAGUUCGGUCCCUAUCUGCCGUGGGCGCUGGAGAAUUGAGGGGGGCUGCUCCUAGUACGAGAGGACCGGAGUGGACGCAUCACUGGUGUUCGGGUUGUCAUGCCAAUGGCACUGCCCGGUAGCUAAAUGCGGAAGAGAUAAGUGCUGAAAGCAUCUAAGCACGAAACUUGCCCCGAGAUGAGUUCUCCCUGAGACUUUAAGUCUCCUGAAGGAACGUUGAAGACGACGACGUUGAUAGGCCGGGUGUGUAAGCGCAGCGAUGCGUUGAGCUAACCGGUACUAAUGAACCGUGAGGCUUAACCUUACAACGCCGAAG